GAUCCUGGCUCAGGAUGAACGCUAGCUACAGGCUUAACACAUGCAAGUCGAGGGGCAGCAUGGUCUUAGCUUGCUAAGGCUGAUGGCGACCGGCGCACGGGUGAGUAACACGUAUCCAACCUGCCGUCUACUCUUGGCCAGCCUUCUGAAAGGAAGAUUAAUCCAGGAUGGGAUCAUGAGUUCACAUGUCCGCAUGAUUAAAGGUAUUUUCUGGUAGACGAUAGGG
Molecule: ribosomal RNA, 226 nt
Filed under: uncultured bacterium
Lineage: Bacteria
Description: partial 16S ribosomal RNA
Rfam family: Bacterial small subunit ribosomal RNA
Source: RNAcentral